CGACCUACGGGGGGCAGCAGUGGGGAAUAUUGCACAAUGGGGGAAACCCUGAUGCAGCGACGCCGCGUGAGUGAAGAAGUAUUUCGGUAUGUAAAGCUCUAUCAGCAGGGAAGAUAAUGACGGUACCUGACUAAGAAGCCCCGGCUAACUACGUGCCAGCAGCCGCGGUAAUACGUAGGGGGCAAGCGUUAUCCGGAUUUACUGGGUGUAAAGGGAGCGCAGGCGGCUUUGCAAGUCUGAUGUGAAAGGCCGGGGCUCAACCCCGGGACUGCAUUGGAAACUGUAAAGCUAGAGUGCCGGAGAGG
RNAcentral lists this ribosomal RNA (305 nucleotides) under uncultured bacterium. RNAcentral describes it as "bacterial SSU rRNA". It matches the Rfam family "Bacterial small subunit ribosomal RNA", at positions 333 to 657 of the family's 1533-position model. The record is from RNAcentral.